CGCAAUGGGCGAAAGCCUGACAGAGCAAUACCGCGUGAGGGAUGAAGACUUACUGAGUUGUAAACCUCGGUGCCUUAAGGAAGAAGAUCUGACGGUACUUAAGGUGGAAAGCAUCGGCUAACUCCGUGCCAGCAGCCGCGGUAAGACGGGGGAUGCAAGUGUUAUCCGGAUUUACUGGGCGUAAAGCGUCUGCAGGUGGUUUCUUAAGUCUACUGUUAAAUCUUGAGGCUCAACCUCAAAUCUGCAGUAGAAACUAGGAGACUUGAGUAUAGUAGGGGUAGAGGGAAUUUCCAGUGGAGCGGUGAAAUGCGUAGAUAUUGGAAAUAACACCGAUGCCGAAGGCGGUGUAUUGAAUUUAGCGGCCCCGUCAGAGCCGAAAGCUA
RNAcentral lists this ribosomal RNA (383 nucleotides) under uncultured organism. Its description in RNAcentral is "bacterial SSU rRNA". It matches the Rfam family "Bacterial small subunit ribosomal RNA", at positions 367 to 762 of the family's 1533-position model. The record is from RNAcentral.